This 101-nucleotide small RNA is filed under the name Photobacterium sp. RNAcentral describes it as "Manganese sequence". It matches the Rfam family "Manganese Mn2+ riboswitch aptamer (yybP-ykoY)". From Rfam's summary of the family: This RNA was originally discovered in E. coli during a large scale screen and was named SraF. The family was later found to exist upstream of related families of protein genes in many bacteria, including the the yybP and ykoK genes in B. subtilis. Lineage: Bacteria; Pseudomonadati; Pseudomonadota; Gammaproteobacteria; Vibrionales; Vibrionaceae. The record is from RNAcentral.
CCUUUGGGGAGUAGCCUCUCGAUCUAUCGAGAUAAUCGUCAACAUAAUUGAAGCAAAAUCUUCAUGGCGGUUAUGACUCACAUUAAUCCUACUAGUGAGUU